Small nuclear RNA from Phyllostomus discolor (pale spear-nosed bat), 107 nucleotides. Lineage: Eukaryota; Metazoa; Chordata; Mammalia; Chiroptera; Phyllostomidae. The record is from RefSeq and is a predicted model, not a curated record.
GUGCUCAUUUUGGCAGCAAGUAUACUAAAAUUAGAACGACACAGAGAAGAUUAGCAUGGCUGCUGUACGAGGAUGACACGCAAAUUCAUGACGUGUUCCAUAUUUUU